GCCGAUUGUUUGAAACGCACGUUGCCAUCACUGGUGGGGGUAAGACGCUAGCUGCACCUUGUCAGGAGUUUCAAUUCCGGAACUUCACGUUAGGCAUUGUAAAGUACGCCUGAAGCGUUGUGGCAAGUGCAAAUCAGUUUCAAGUGCCAUCCCUCCCAUUAAGCACUGUGGUUGGUUACCAAGUCUGACUCGCUGCCAGAGUUUGAGCCCCUGGCUCGUUUUACCAUAGCAUUGCAAGAGGUCUCCCCUGGCUACUAGGGUUAACAAGGGACGCCAAGCUGACGUGGGUCCCUCCUCCCAUGUCCACCUGGGUCUUUCCUUUUGUAUGACCGUCAAGGCCAAGAUCACAGCAGCAAUUGACCACAGUUGAUAGUCUGGCCACUGUUUUCCUCCGGUUUAUUUCUUUCAUUUAGUUCUUUAUCUAUUGACUGAUCUAGCUGAAGCCACGUGUCUCGUUGUUACGUGUAUUUGUAGUAUUGUCACCCAUUUCUGUGGCCUGGGUGCCUAACCCAGGGUGAGUGGCAAGGUAACACUGUUGGUACAUUUAUGGUACUAUUCUGCCCUUAAAGUUGCUGUGUGAACACCCCCCUAGUGGUUGAGUGUGGAGUUUGACACGACCUGUAUAAGGUUGUUCUCUGUGAUUUAUCUUGACCUCACCGUUUUGCACUUUACAGUAUUACACUAGUGUGUGCAUGAGUGUGCUAUUAGUCAUCAUGUAUGGCUGAAUAGUGGUCAGAGGUACUCCAGCAGUGUUACUAUAGUUACUCUGGGUUGGCCCCCCUGGGCCUAUGUUAUGUGUUUUUGCUUUCUUUUAAGUCUGAUGUAUGUAUUGUCAUCGUGUUUUUGUUACUCCUGCCAAGU
Clupea harengus (Atlantic herring) is the source of this 861-nucleotide long non-coding RNA. RefSeq lists it as uncharacterized. Lineage: Eukaryota; Metazoa; Chordata; Actinopteri; Clupeiformes; Clupeidae. The record is from RefSeq and is a predicted model, not a curated record.